UGCCAGCCGCCGCGGUAAUACGGAGGGUGCAAGCGUUAAUCGGAAUUACUGGGCGUAAAGCGCUCGUAGGCGGUUUGUUAAGUCGGAUGUGAAAGCCCCGGGCUCAACCUGGGAACUGCAUUCGAUACUGGCAAACUAGAGUAUAGAAGAGGCAAGUGGAAUUCCGGGUGUAGCGGUGAAAUGCGUAGAUAUCCGGAGGAACACCAGAGGCGAAGGCGGUCACCUGGCUCGCAACUGACGCUGAGGCGCGAAAGCGUGGGGAGCAAACAGGAUUAGAUA
This 279-nucleotide ribosomal RNA is filed under the name uncultured bacterium. Its description in RNAcentral is "partial 16S ribosomal RNA". It matches the Rfam family "Bacterial small subunit ribosomal RNA", at positions 506 to 784 of the family's 1533-position model. The record is from RNAcentral.